Molecule: long non-coding RNA, 136 nt
Organism: Sapajus apella (tufted capuchin)
Lineage: Eukaryota; Metazoa; Chordata; Mammalia; Primates; Cebidae
Exons: 2
Source: RefSeq, a predicted model, not a curated record
UGAUUGUUUGCAAAUACUUUUUCAAGAAAGGUCUGCAUGAGAAUGUCAUUUUAGUCAGAACCGCAGAGCUGUGGAGAACCUUCAAUCCCAUUAUGGAGCUGCACCUGGAACCUGGAAACUCGGAGAAGUUAAACGG